UACGGGGGGGGCAAGCGUUGUUCGGAAUUACUGGGCGUAAAGGGCGCGUAGGCGGCCAGACAAAGUCGAGCGUUAAAUUCCAGGGCUUAACUCUGGGCUGUUGCUCGAUACUAGUCGGCUAGAGUGUGGAAGAGGGUGCUGGAAUUCCCGGUGUAGCGGUGAAAUGCGUAGAUAUCAGGAGGAACACCGGUGGCGAAGGCGGGUCUCUGGGCCAGUAUUGACGCUGAGGAGCGAAAGCGUGGGUAGCAAACAGG
This 254-nucleotide ribosomal RNA is filed under the name uncultured bacterium. Its description in RNAcentral is "partial 16S ribosomal RNA". It matches the Rfam family "Bacterial small subunit ribosomal RNA", at positions 524 to 776 of the family's 1533-position model. The record is from RNAcentral.